AGUGAACGCUGGCGGCGUGCCUAACACAUGCAAGUCGAACGGGCUAGUGCUUCGCACUAGUCUCUUUCUGGGGUUGCUACUCUAAGGCUACCUGCUAAAGUUAUUGCUUUAAAGCAGGGGUUUUAGGGGACCUUCCCCAAAAGGGGCCAGUGCGGAGCACUGGCCAGUGGCGAACGGGUGAGUAACACGUGGGUAAUCUGCCCUCGAGUGGGGAAUAAGCUCCCGAAAGGGGGUCUAAUACCGCAUGACGUUUCAUAACGAUGGUUAUGAAACCAAAGCCCAAAAGGCGCUUGAGGAGGAGCCUGCGUCCUAUCAGUUUGUUGGCAGGGUAAUGGCCUACCAAGGCUAUGACGGGUAGCCGGCCUGAGAGGGUGUCCGGCCACACUGGAACUGAGACACGGUCCAGACUCCUACGGGAGGCAGCAGUGGGGAAUUUUGGACAAUGGGCGCAAGCCUGAUCCAGCCAUUCCGCGUGCAGGAUGAAGGCCUUCGGGUUGUAAACGUGUCUUUUGUACGGUAACGAAACGGACGACG
This 534-nucleotide ribosomal RNA is filed under the name uncultured bacterium. Its description in RNAcentral is "bacterial SSU rRNA". It matches the Rfam family "Bacterial small subunit ribosomal RNA", at positions 29 to 460 of the family's 1533-position model. The record is from RNAcentral.